Molecule: transfer RNA, 71 nt
Filed under: Marmota monax (woodchuck)
Lineage: Eukaryota; Metazoa; Chordata; Mammalia; Rodentia; Sciuridae
Description: tRNA.Ala
Source: RNAcentral
GGGGUUGUGGCUCAGCGGUGGAGAGCUUGCCUUGCAAGUAUGAGGCACUGGGUUCCAUCCUCAGCACCACA